UACGGGGGGGGCAAGCGUUGUUCGGAAUUACUGGGCGUACAGGGCUCGUAGGCGGCCAACUAAGUCGGACGUGAAAUCCCCCGGCUUAACCUGGGAACUGCGUCUGAUACUGGAAGGCUUGAGUAUGGGAGAGGGAUGUAGAAUUCCAGGUGUAGCGGUGAAAUGCGUAGAUAUCUGGAGGAAUACCGGUGGCGAAGGCGGCAUCCUGGACCAUUACUGACGCUGAGGCGCGAAAGCUAGGGGAGCAAACGGG
This 253-nucleotide ribosomal RNA is filed under the name uncultured bacterium. RNAcentral describes it as "partial 16S ribosomal RNA". It matches the Rfam family "Bacterial small subunit ribosomal RNA", at positions 524 to 776 of the family's 1533-position model. The record is from RNAcentral.